CCUACGGGCGGCAGCAGUAGGGAAUAUUGCUCAAUGGGGGAAACCCUGAAGCAGCAACGCCGCGUGGAGGAUGAAGGUUUUCGGAUUGUAAACUCCUUUUGUUAGAGAAGAGAAUGACGGUAUCUAACGAAUAAUCACCGGCCAACGCCGUGCCAGCAGCCGCGGUAAUACGGAGGGAGCAAGCGUUAUGCGGAAUCACGGGGCGUAAAGAGCGCGUAGGCGGGAUAGCAAGUCAGAUGUGAAAUCCUAUGGCUUAACCAUAGAACUGCAUUUGAAACUGUUAUUCUAGAGUAUGGGAGAGGUAGGUGGAAUUCUUGGUGUAGAGGUGAAAUCCGUAGAGAUCAAGAGGAAUACUCAUUGCGAAGGCGACCUGCUAGA
RNAcentral lists this ribosomal RNA (378 nucleotides) under uncultured bacterium. RNAcentral's name for it is "partial 16S ribosomal RNA". It matches the Rfam family "Bacterial small subunit ribosomal RNA", at positions 338 to 733 of the family's 1533-position model. The record is from RNAcentral.